RNAcentral lists this ribosomal RNA (253 nucleotides) under uncultured bacterium. RNAcentral's name for it is "partial 16S ribosomal RNA". It matches the Rfam family "Bacterial small subunit ribosomal RNA", at positions 524 to 776 of the family's 1533-position model. The record is from RNAcentral.
UACGUAGGGUGCGAGCGUUAAUCGGAAUUACUGGGCGUAAAGCGUGCGCAGGCGGCGCGUUAAGACAGGUGUGAAAGCCCCGAGCUUAACUUGGGAAUUGCGCUUGUGACUGGCGUGCUGGAGUGUGGCAGAGGGAGGUGGAAUUCCACGUGUAGCAGUGAAAUGCGUAGAGAUGUGGAGGAACACCGAUGGCGAAGGCAAUCCCCUGGACCUGUACUGACGCUCAUGCACGAAAGCGUGGGGAGCAAACAGG